UCGAUUCCCUUAGUAGCGGCGAGCGAAACGGGAAGAGCCCAAACCAACAAGCUUGCUUGUUGGGGUUGUAGGACACUCUAUACGGAGUUACAAAGGACGACAUUAGACGAAUCAUCUGGAAAGAUGAAUCAAAGAAGGUAAUAAUCCUGUAGUCGAAAAUGUUGUCUCUCUUGAGUGGAUCCUGAGUACGACGGAGCACGUGAAAUUCCGUCGGAAUCUGGGAGGACCAUCUCCUAAGGCUAAAUACUCUCUAGUGACCGAUAGUGAACCAGUACCGUGAGGGAAAGGUGAAAAGCACCCCGGAAGGGGAGUGAAAUAGAACCUGAAACCGUGUGCUUACAAGUAGUCAGAGCCCGUUAAUGGGUGAUGGCGUGCCUUUUGUAGAAUGAACCGGCGAGUUACGAUUUGAUGCAAGGUUAAGCAGUAAAUGUGGAGCCGUAGCGAAAGCGAGUCUGAAUAGGGCGUUUAGUAUUUGGUCGUAGACCCGAAACCAGGUGAUCUACCCUUGGUCAGGUUGAAGUUCAGGUAACACUGAAUGGAGGACCGAACCGACUUACGUUGAAAAGUGAGCGGAUGAACUGAGGGUAGCGGAGAAAUUCCAAUCGAACCUGGAGAUAGCUGGUUCUCUCCGAAAUAGCUUUAGGGCUAGCCUCAAGUGAUGAUUAUUGGAGGUAGAGCACUGUUUGGACGAGGGGCCCCUCUCGGGUUACC
RNAcentral lists this ribosomal RNA (711 nucleotides) under Staphylococcus aureus. RNAcentral describes it as "partial 23S ribosomal RNA". It matches the Rfam family "Bacterial large subunit ribosomal RNA", at positions 231 to 940 of the family's 2925-position model. The record is from RNAcentral. Lineage: Bacteria; Bacillati; Bacillota; Bacilli; Caryophanales; Staphylococcaceae.